RNAcentral lists this ribosomal RNA (318 nucleotides) under uncultured soil bacterium. RNAcentral describes it as "bacterial SSU rRNA". It matches the Rfam family "Bacterial small subunit ribosomal RNA", at positions 26 to 341 of the family's 1533-position model. The record is from RNAcentral.
AGAGUGAACGCUGGCGGUAGGCCUAACACAUGCAAGUCGAACGGCAGCACAGUGGUAGCAAUACCAUGGGUGGCGAGUGGCGGACGGGUGAGGAAUACAUCGGAAUCUACCUUUUCGUGGGGGAUAACGUAGGGAAACUUACGCUAAUACCGCAUACGCCCUUCGGGGGAAAGCCGGGGAUCGCAAGACCUGGCGCGGAUAGAUGAGCCGAUGUCGGAUUAGCUAGUUGGUGAGGUAAUGGCUCACCAAGGCGACGAUCCGUAGCUGGUCUGAGAGGAUGAUCAGCCACACUGGAACUGAGACACGGUCAGACUCCUA